UACGGAGGGUGCAAGCGUUGUUCGGAAUUACUGGGCGUAAAGCGCGCGUAGGCGGUUUUUUCAGUCUGGUGUGAAAUCCCGGGGCUCACCCCCGGAAGUGCAUUGGAUACUGGGAGACUUGAGUACCGGAGAGGAGGGUGGAAUUCCUGGUGUAGCGGUGAAAUGCGUAGAUAUCAGGAGGAACACCGGUGGCGAAGGCGGCCCUCUGGACGGAUACUGACGCUGAGGCGCGAAAGCGUGGGGAGCAAACAGG
This 253-nucleotide ribosomal RNA is filed under the name uncultured bacterium. Its description in RNAcentral is "partial 16S ribosomal RNA". It matches the Rfam family "Bacterial small subunit ribosomal RNA", at positions 524 to 776 of the family's 1533-position model. The record is from RNAcentral.